AUGAAGUGUGACGUGGACAU
This 20-nucleotide microRNA is filed under the name Bos taurus (domestic cattle). RNAcentral describes it as "bta-miR-3533". Lineage: Eukaryota; Metazoa; Chordata; Mammalia; Artiodactyla; Bovidae. The record is from miRBase by way of RNAcentral.